UAUAUCCCUUUCAAGCUGACUCACCUUAUAGAAUGAAUGGAGGUCAUUUCAUAGUAUAUAUACUUGUAUAUCUAUAUACCCAUAAUACGUCACGCUCAUCAAAUCGCUCAAAGGGAAUGAGGAAAUUGCAAUGAACAAGGCUAAUCCGCACUCCACGAUGAUCCUGUCCUCAUAAUCAUCGACUGGGGAGCAAGAAUCAUUAGUAUCGAUUAAACGACACCCAUGACAUAACCCUGGCAAUCAGUCGCCAUGCCGAUGACCAUCGAAGCACAAAGCGUCCGGCUUAAGUAAAUCGCAGCGUUGAAAAUCGAUGCAUGAAUUCGAAAAAAAAGUCAAGAAAAAUAAUCCUUGAAGAAUUAACCUUGAUCUCCCCAUGGUCCCGUACCAUUGUCACUUGGUCUCGUAACAUUUUAGGCUCUGUCAUCGUUUUCACGUCAGUCAGUGUACUUCAGCUGUCACGUCCAAGAAACUGAGGAAAUUAAAGAAAAAUUCAUGCAUGACAACUACAUAAGAUUGGCCGUCUUUUCAUUUUUUUUUUUGUGACUGGCAUUCUGCCAUCGAUGCAAGAAUAGACUGUCCUGCCUUCGCGCACCAGCGAACCUCAAGUGCAUUGCGUAAACUGUAAAAACUAAUGUCAAGGAAACGAAUUGUGAACGCUGUCGAGUUCUAGCUACCUGAACAUUUGGGACCAGCUGAGAGACGACGUGCCUCGAUUCGGUCUCUGUACCAAAAUAGAAUGAAUGUCAGCCUGGCUUACUUAGCGGUUUUAUUCGUCUUCGUAUUUCGCGCAGCCAUUGUGAAUAAAGCGUAAAUUCUUAUUAGGAUCGUAUAUUAUGUAAAAGUCGAUGAUACGGUAUAGUCAUUGUAUUGUGAUGUAGUUAACCUUGUGAUAAGGAACACGUUAAAUUGUCGAGUUAUUAAUCUUUAUGUGGCGAAUGAGAACGGCAAUAACUGUUGUAACCGUGAAAGAAAGUUUUUGUAGGAACAAAAUUGUCUUAAAUCUAUUUGACGUAGCUGUAUUCACGGUAUAUAUGUAAUUUGCGUAUAGUCGAUCAUUAAUUAUCUCUUUAUCAAGGCACAUCAUUGAUUUUCCAACUUCAAUGUUGCUUAUAAAGUUCGGUAUCUCUGCUUGAUAUCGUCAAGGUUGGAAAUCAUUUGCGGUUAUAAAAUAAUACAUGAUUGUAAUACGUUCAAGUUCAGUAAUUCGAAGCUCUCGUGAUAUUCGAGCACGUAGCGACAAAUUGGUUAGCGUUGGCAGUUGGCGAACUUUCGAUGUCUCUUAAAUGUAAUUAUAAAAUCGGUUCGUCAACCGUAGUAUCAAGAAAGAUCACGUGACAAGUGAGGUUAAUGCCUUGACCGAGCGAGUAUACAGUUAAAUGAGUAAAUCCAAAGUCAAGAAAUUAUUUUUUCAAUGACUAAUACACUGGGAGUGUACUUCUUCUCAAUGUUCCUAUGGCGAUCAGCAAUCGAGUGCUUGGUUAGAGUCACGAAUUCACAUGUGAUGUCACAUGAGUAUAUGGUUAGGUGUGUAAAUAAAACUUCACUGAAUUCGCGGUACUUACACAUUUUUACA
Cephus cinctus (wheat stem sawfly) is the source of this 1573-nucleotide long non-coding RNA. RefSeq lists it as uncharacterized. Lineage: Eukaryota; Metazoa; Arthropoda; Insecta; Hymenoptera; Cephidae. The transcript has 3 exons. The record is from RefSeq and is a predicted model, not a curated record.